GACGAACGCUGGCGGCGUGCUUAACACAUGCAAGUCGAACGGAAAGGCCCUGCUUUUGUGGGUUUCUCGAGUGGCGAACGUGUGUGUAACACGUGAGUAACCUGCCCUUUACUUUGUGAUAUCUUCAGGAAACUGGUGCUAAUACCUGAUAGGAGCUCCUGCUGCAUGUUGUGGGUUGGAAAUUUUCGGCGGUUGGGGAUGGACUCGCGGGUUAUCGGCUUGUUGGUGGGGUAGUGGCUUACCAAGGCUUUGACGGGUAGCAGGCAUGAGAGGGUGACCGGAAAAAUAGGGACUGAGAUACGGACCAGAGUGCUACGGGAGGCAGGAGGGGGGAAGAUUGCACAAUGGGCGGAAGCGUGAUGCAGCAAAGGCGCGUGCGGGAUGAGGGCGUAAGGGUUGUAAAAGGAAUUCGGAUGUGAAGAAGCGAGAGUGACGGUAAUGGGUAAAGAAGCACCGGCUAACUACGUG
RNAcentral lists this ribosomal RNA (468 nucleotides) under uncultured bacterium. RNAcentral's name for it is "partial 16S ribosomal RNA". It matches the Rfam family "Bacterial small subunit ribosomal RNA", at positions 28 to 507 of the family's 1533-position model. The record is from RNAcentral.